This 167-nucleotide ribosomal RNA is filed under the name Serratia marcescens. RNAcentral describes it as "partial 16S ribosomal RNA". It matches the Rfam family "Bacterial small subunit ribosomal RNA", at positions 1 to 160 of the family's 1533-position model. Lineage: Bacteria; Pseudomonadati; Pseudomonadota; Gammaproteobacteria; Enterobacterales; Yersiniaceae. The record is from RNAcentral.
UUAAUUGAAGAGUUUGAUCAUGGCUCAGAUUGAACGCUGGCGGCAGGCCUAACACAUGCAAGUCGAGCGGUAACAGGAGAAAGCUUGCUUUCUUGCUGACGAGCGGCGGACGGGUGAGUAAUGUAUGGGGAUCUGCCCGAUAGAGGGGGAUAACUACUGGAAACGGU